This 894-nucleotide long non-coding RNA is filed under the name Amborella trichopoda. Its description in RNAcentral is "long non-coding RNA (ATRI_LNC004569)". The record is from RNAcentral. Lineage: Eukaryota; Viridiplantae; Streptophyta; Magnoliopsida; Amborellales; Amborellaceae.
GUCGGAAAUAGGGUUGCGCAAUAUCGGAAAUCGUGCGAGUCUAGAGAGGAAUCGCAGGAAAUCAGGCUAGUCUAGAGAGGAAUCGCCUCGACGAUUUGCAAUAGUCGGUCAGAAAUAGGGCUGCGCCAUAUCGAAAAUCAGGCAAGUCUAGAGAGGAAUCGCCUCGACGAUUUGCAAUAGUAGGUCAGAAAUAGGGCUGCGCAAUAUCGAAAAUCAGGCAAGUCUAGAGAGGAAUCGCCUCAACGAUUUGCAAUAGUCGGUCUAGACUCAUCGAUUCUCGGCGAUUUGCAAUCGUAAAUUGGCGAUUUGCAAUGGUUGGUCUAGACUCAUCAGUUCUCGACGAUUUGCAAUCGUAAAUUGAGUAAAUCGGGCGCCCGUUCUUGGCGAUGUGCAAUCGUAAAUCGAGUAAAUCGUUACUCGGGCGAGUGGACAUGUGGUAGCCCCUAAAUUGAGUAAAUCAGGAGCCGGUUCUUGGCGAUUUGCAAUCGUAAAUCGAGUAAAUUGUUACUAGGGUGAGUGGACACGUGGCAGCCCCGAGGAGCAAGACUCGUUGAUUCUCAGCGAUUUGCAACAGUAAAUCGAGCAAGACUCACUGAGAGCUGGUUCUCUGGUUCUUGGCGAUUUGCAAUCGUAAAUCAAGUAAAUCGUUACUCGGGCGAGUGGACACGUGGCAAUGAUUUAGGCGAGUGGACACGUGGCAGUGAUUUAGUUCUUACCUUGCCCCCGUGUUUUCACACGCACACAAACAUCCUAUUCCACAGCUAUUUAUAGAGCAACAUAUUAUACUCGUCCUUCGAUGUGGGACUAAUAUAAGAGUUGAGGUAGUAAUAUAAUGUAUACAUUUAUUAUGGAUGGAAAAGCAUUAUGCAACGAUGUGGUGCAGUUGGUUAGCUC